GACGAACGCUGGCGGCGUGCUUAACACAUGCAAGUCGAACGGAAAGGCCCUGCUUUUGUGGGGUGCUCGAGUGGCGAACGGGUGAGUAACACGUGAGUAACCUGCCCUUGACUUUGGGAUAACUUCAGGAAACUGGGGCUAAUACCGGAUAGGAGCUCCUGCUGCAUGGUGGGGGUUGGAAAGUUUCGGCGGUUGGGGAUGGACUCGCGGCUUAUCAGCUUGUUGGUGGGGUAGUGGCUUACCAAGGCUUUGACCGGUAGCCGGCCUGAGAGGGUGACCGGCCACAUUGGGACUGAGAUACGGCCCAGACUCCUACGGGAGGCAGCAGUGGGGAAUAUUGCACAAUGGCCGGAAGCCUGUUGCAGCAACGCCGCGUGCGGGAUGACGGCCUUCGGGUUGUAAACCGCUUUCGCCUGUGACGAAGCGUGAGUGACGGUAAUGGGUAAAGAAGCACCGGCUAACUACGUG
This 468-nucleotide ribosomal RNA is filed under the name uncultured bacterium. RNAcentral describes it as "partial 16S ribosomal RNA". It matches the Rfam family "Bacterial small subunit ribosomal RNA", at positions 28 to 507 of the family's 1533-position model. The record is from RNAcentral.